Molecule: ribosomal RNA, 497 nt
Filed under: uncultured bacterium
Lineage: Bacteria
Description: partial 16S ribosomal RNA
Rfam family: Bacterial small subunit ribosomal RNA
Source: RNAcentral
GAUGAACGCUGGCGGCGUGCCUAAUACAUGCAAGUCGAGCGAACAGACGAGGAGCUUGCUCCUCUGACGUUAGCGGCGGACGGGUGAGUAACACGUGGAUAACCUACCUAUAAGACUGGGAUAACUUCGGGAAACCGGAGCUAAUACCGGAUAAUAUAUUGAACCGCAUGGUUCAAUAGUGAAAGACGGUUUUGCUGUCACUUAUAGAUGGAUCCGCGCCGCAUUAGCUAGUUGGUAAGGUAACGGCUUACCUAGGCGACGAUCCGUAGCCGACCUGAGAGGAUGACCAGCGACACUGGAACGGAGACACGGUCCAGACGCCGACGGGAGGCAGCAGGGGGGAAGAUGGCACAAUGGGAGCAAGCAUGAUGCAGACAUGCAGCGUGGAUGAAGAAGGCCUUAGGUGUGUAAAGUACUGCCAGCGGGGAGGAAGGGAGUAAAGUUAAUACCGUUGCUCAGUGACGUUACCCGCAGAAGAAGCACCGGCUAACUCCGUG